This 589-nucleotide ribosomal RNA is filed under the name Aureobasidium melanogenum. RNAcentral describes it as "eukaryotic LSU rRNA". It matches the Rfam family "Eukaryotic large subunit ribosomal RNA", at positions 34 to 640 of the family's 3401-position model. Lineage: Eukaryota; Fungi; Ascomycota; Dothideomycetes; Dothideales; Saccotheciaceae. The record is from RNAcentral.
UUUUGCAUAUCCAUUAGCGGAGGAUAAGAAACCAACAGGGAUUGCCCUAGUAACGGCGAGUGAAGCGGCAACAGCUCAAAUUUGAAAGCUGGCCUUCGGGUCCGCAUUGUAAUUUGUAGAGGAUGCUUUGGGUGAAACGCCAGUCUAAGUUCCUUGGAACAGGACGUCAUAGAGGGUGAGAAUCCCGUAUGUGACUGGAAAUGUUAACCUAUGUAAAGCUCCUUCGACGAGUCGAGUUGUUUGGGAAUGCAGCUCUAAAUGGGAGGUAAAUUUCUUCUAAAGCUAAAUAUUGGCGAGAGACCGAUAGCGCACAAGUAGAGUGAUCGAAAGAUGAAAAGCACUUUGGAAAGAGAGUUAAAAAGCACGUGAAAUUGUUGAAAGGGAAGCGCUUGCAAUCAGACUUGUUUAAACUGUUCGGCCGGUCUUCUGACCGGUUUACUCAGUUUGGACAGGCCAGCAUCAGUUUCGGCGGCCGGAUAAAGGCUCUGGGAAUGUGGCCUUCACUUCGGUGAAGGUGUUAUAGCCCAGGGUGUAAUACGGCCAGCCGGGACUGAGGUCCGCGCUCGGCUAGGAUGCUGACGUAUGCCCG